CCUACGGGGAGCUGCAGUGGGGAAUAUUGGACAAUGGGCGAAAGCCUGAUCCAGCCAUGCCGCGUGUGUGAAGAAGGCCUUCGGGUUGUAAAGCACUUUCAGUGGGGAAGAAAGCCUUGGGGCUAAUACCCUCGAGGAAGGACAUCACCCACAGAAGAAGCACCGGCUAACUCCGUGCCAGCAGCCGCGGUAAUACGGAGGGUGCGAGCGUUAAUCGGAAUUACUGGGCGUAAAGCGCGCGUAGGCGGUCUGAUAAGCCGGUUGUGAAAGCCCCGGGCUCAACCUGGGAACGGCAUCCGGAACUGUCAGGCUAGAGGGCAGGAGAGGAAGGUAGAAUUCCCGGUGUAGCGGUGAAAUGCGUAGAGAUCGGGAGGAAUACCAGUGGCGAAGGCGGCCUUCUGGACUGACACUGACGCUGAGGUGCGAAAGCGUGGGUAGCAAACAGGAUUAGAUACCCGUAGUAGUC
RNAcentral lists this ribosomal RNA (466 nucleotides) under Vreelandella stevensii. Its description in RNAcentral is "partial 16S ribosomal RNA". It matches the Rfam family "Bacterial small subunit ribosomal RNA", at positions 338 to 795 of the family's 1533-position model. Lineage: Bacteria; Pseudomonadati; Pseudomonadota; Gammaproteobacteria; Oceanospirillales; Halomonadaceae. The record is from RNAcentral.